This 411-nucleotide long non-coding RNA is filed under the name Phoenix dactylifera (date palm). RNAcentral describes it as "long non-coding RNA (PDAC_LNC021376)". Lineage: Eukaryota; Viridiplantae; Streptophyta; Magnoliopsida; Arecales; Arecaceae. The record is from RNAcentral.
GAUUCCCUUCUUCACCUUCGGCGAGACAGGGGACCCGUGAGCCCCCCGCCCCCCCUUCUUCUUCCCUCUCGGUCGGACCCAAGGCGGCCGCGGUGGCUGGCCUUGGCAGCGGCAGGAGGUGGCGGAGCAAGCCCGACCACCCCCGGCGACUGGCGGUGGCGAACACGCCGACGGCUAGGGCAGCCGUUUUGGACCCAAAUCCGGCGAUCGGCCGGCCCCAACCCCCAACACAUCAUGGCCAAGCAUCAAGCAAGGAGAAGGAGAAGUUUACCUUAGCCCCGACGAAGAUCCGGCGCCUCUAUUCUCCGGCGGCAAGGAAGAAGGAGACCACCCGGUGCGUGGCUCCUCUCUCUCUCUCUCUCUCCCUCUCUCCCUCUCUCUCGGUGGCCACACGAAGAAGACCCUCCCCCC